GAAUGGCCGCAGUAUUUUAACUGUGCAAAGGUAGCAUAAUCAUUAGUCUUUUAAUUGAAGGCUUGUAUGAAUGGUUGGACGAAAUAUUAACUGUUUCAUAAAAAUUAAUUUAGAAUUUUAUUUUUUAGUUAAAAAGCUAAAAUAGUUUUAAAAGACGAGAAGACCCUAUAGAUCUUUAUAUUUUGUAAUUUAUAGUUAUGUAGAUUAUUUAAAUUAUGAAUAUAUAAAUUAUUUUGUUGGGGUGACAUUAAAAUUUAAUUAACUUUUAAUUUAUUAUUACAUUAAUUUAUGUUUAUUUGAUCCAUUAAUAAUGAUUAAAAAAUUAAGUUACCUUAGGGAUAACAGCGUAAUUUUUUUGGAGAGUUCUUAUCGAUAAAAAAGAUUGCGACCUCGAUGUUGGAUUAAGAUAUAAUUUUGGGUGCAGCAAUUCAAUUAUUAAGUC
This 442-nucleotide ribosomal RNA is filed under the name Tabudamima melanophleba. Its description in RNAcentral is "partial 16S ribosomal RNA". The record is from RNAcentral. Lineage: Eukaryota; Metazoa; Arthropoda; Insecta; Diptera; Therevidae.